This 739-nucleotide ribosomal RNA is filed under the name Microbacterium sp. I12A-01849. RNAcentral's name for it is "bacterial SSU rRNA". It matches the Rfam family "Bacterial small subunit ribosomal RNA", at positions 66 to 817 of the family's 1533-position model. The record is from RNAcentral. Lineage: Bacteria; Bacillati; Actinomycetota; Actinomycetes; Micrococcales; Microbacteriaceae.
ACGGUGAAGCCCAGCUUGCUGGGUGGAUCAGUGGCGAACGGGUGAGUAACACGUGAGCAACCUGCCCCUGACUCUGGGAUAAGCGCUGGAAACGGCGUCUAAUACUGGAUACGAACCGCGAAGGCAUCUUCAGUGGUUGGAAAGAUUUUUUGGUUGGGGAUGGGCUCGCGGCCUAUCAGCUUGUUGGUGAGGUAAUGGCUCACCAAGGCGUCGACGGGUAGCCGGCCUGAGAGGGUGACCGGCCACACUGGGACUGAGACACGGCCCAGACUCCUACGGGAGGCAGCAGUGGGGAAUAUUGCACAAUGGGCGGAAGCCUGAUGCAGCAACGCCGCGUGAGGGAUGACGGCCUUCGGGUUGUAAACCUCUUUUAGCAGGGAAGAAGCGAAAGUGACGGUACCUGCAGAAAAAGCGCCGGCUAACUACGUGCCAGCAGCCGCGGUAAUACGUAGGGCGCAAGCGUUAUCCGGAAUUAUUGGGCGUAAAGAGCUCGUAGGCGGUUUGUCGCGUCUGCUGUGAAAUCCCGAGGCUCAACCUCGGGCCUGCAGUGGGUACGGGCAGACUAGAGUGCGGUAGGGGAGAUUGGAAUUCCUGGUGUAGCGGUGGAAUGCGCAGAUAUCAGGAGGAACACCGAUGGCGAAGGCAGAUCUCUGGGCCGUAACUGACGCUGAGGAGCGAAAGGGUGGGGAGCAAACAGGCUUAGAUACCCUGGUAGUCCACCCCGUAAACGUUGGGAACU